Molecule: long non-coding RNA, 955 nt
Filed under: Homo sapiens (human)
Lineage: Eukaryota; Metazoa; Chordata; Mammalia; Primates; Hominidae
Description: non-protein coding APCDD1L-DT:46
Source: RNAcentral
AAUUGAUAAGCUCUUUCCAACUUGUCAGAAGCAACUUAGCCGUCUCGCCUUGCGGCCUGGAACCCCUGGCAAUUUCCGGAGCACCGGCAAGAGACUUUUGCACAGUUUCUGCUUGGAGUCUACCGACUGUCUGUCUCAGAGGUGGGGGUUUAUCUCUUGAUCCUGAUUCGUGAGUUACAGAUUAGGCACUGAAGAUUCCAGCACCGGGGAUGCGUAGGGCCGGGGGAGGGAGGGAGGUGCACGUCAGAGUCCACUUAGAUUUUCUGAACUCAUGUCUGUGACAGGUGCAGACCUGGAUUCCACUGGGAGCACCCCCACCCCCACCCCCCACCCAGGGCUAGCAGUUUCAGAGUUCACAGCAUUAAUUAACUCUAAUCUGUUCCCUGAUAGUUUAAAGCAGGCUCAACAUGUGAAAGCAUUUUCCUUCCUGCUUAUUUAAUGGACUUAAUGAGAUAACAAUGAGAAUCUGUGUUUAGGCUCUGUAGCGCAUUUGGCUCUCCCGCCAUGUUUGUAUGAUAAAAGGCAGUGGGCUGUUGUUUAUGCGCUUAGCUGGGGUUUAUUCUUUUUAAACAGGUCUGGACAGCUGCUUGUUACAUUUGGCUCACGCUAGCUUAAAAAAGGAAUUUAUGGACCUUACUGCAGAACGUCCCAAUUCUUCAGGCCAAGAUGUCUUGAACAAGUCAGCAAAGAAAAACAGUUCCGCCUUUGGAAUGUAUGAAAAUGAAGACCGUUGCAGGAGGUCUUGAGCCACAGAGCUGGCUCCAGAGGCAUUGGGAGGAGAAACGCGGCAGGCCUGGCUCACUCAUUAUAUUUCAAGAUCUAUCCCAGCUUGUCACAACAUGGACUGUGUAACUGAGACGAUUCGCGGUUGGUGUUCCCAUGCUGAGGCAUGUGCUGCCCCGGCCCUUGGUUGCUGCGCAAUUUGCUCUCUAUGGACUGUACCUGGGGUGCCUAC